GUGGAAACCUGUCAGAAUUGCAUGGUGAUGAAUACGAGCGAGUGAAUUACUACUGUAGCAUCCAGAUCCUUGUGUUGCUGACUGGGAAACGGAGGCACAAAGAGGCAGAAUGACUCACCCGAGGUCACAGAGUCGCUCUGGAAAUCUGACAUUUCUUUGUGCCAGACUCAGGCAGACCCCUUCCAUGCAAAACAGCAACUGACCUGGGGUGGGAAGCAGCGCGUGUGACCAUCAGAUCAUCCCCCGUUUAGUUUGGCUACUAAGGAGCCCAGCCCUAAAGUCACUGUAUAACCCCCUUUUGAUAUGUUCAAUUCCAUGCAGCUAUCCAUUGUUAUCGAGGGCACUAUGCCCUGUUGGAGGCAGUGUGACCUAGUGGAUACAGCUGUGGACGAAGCUGCAGGAGACCUGGGCUCCAGUCCUGGCACUAGCCAGCUGUGUGACUUUGGGCAAGUCACUUCACUGCUGUGUGCCUAGUUUCCCUGUUUGUACAAAGGGGAUUCUGAUCUCCACGAUAAAGCGCUUAGCGAUCUGUGGCUGAAAAGUGCCAUAUCACAGUGAGGUGUUAGUAUUCAUUCCCUUUCUCUUCCUCCCAGCCGUGAGCCCCAACUACUGCCAUGAAGACCACUGUGUUCCAGAAAGAACGUCAACCCAAUGCUUCCGAAGUGACCUACUCAGGGUGCCGCUUGCCCGCAUCCGGCCAGGAGGGGAGGUCGUGGGUACGGUUUGCGUCCAAACUGCGGGGCAGACCCAGCAGUAGCUGACCACAUCCCCGUUCCUGUAGCAUCGCUGGGUCCUUUGUUAAGGGCAGACGGCAGCAGCU
Molecule: long non-coding RNA, 820 nt
Organism: Mauremys mutica (yellowpond turtle)
Lineage: Eukaryota; Metazoa; Chordata; Testudines; Geoemydidae
Exons: 2
Source: RefSeq, a predicted model, not a curated record